GGGGCUGUAGCUCAGUGGUAGAGCACUUGCCUAGCGUGUAUGAGGCACUGGGUUCAAUUAUGAGCACCUCA
RNAcentral lists this transfer RNA (71 nucleotides) under Marmota monax (woodchuck). Its description in RNAcentral is "tRNA.Ala". The record is from RNAcentral. Lineage: Eukaryota; Metazoa; Chordata; Mammalia; Rodentia; Sciuridae.